CUCCAAUUUUGAUGUGAAUACCCUCAAAUUAAAGCCCAGAGUGUGAUAUAUAACUGUUUAUAACUGUAACAUGAAUACAUUUCGGUCAACAGCUAAAAUAAUAAAAAUUGUGCCUGUGUCCAAAUACAGACCUAACUGUAUCCCAUGUCAUCUGAAGUCAUACUACAGAAAUUUAAUUCAUUAAUAUUCCCCUCCGAAUGAAGGACUGUAACAGGGAAUUGACUGCAUGUGACCAUCAGUGAUGUUUGGUCAUGUGACAUGUAAGAACCAAUGGCGUUUGUUCUAAAUGUAGCUGAAGUGCCUGUGUUAUAGUCAGUUUCAAAAAUGUCCGUCUUCAAGAAUAUGCAGUAUAAGUCAUAUAAGCUACUUUUGUAGUGCUUCUUUUGUUGUUUUAUACAGAAAAUGCUUGGCAGCUUCAUUCCUCUUUCAUUUCUUUUCUAAUAAAUGGAUUACACGUGCUCCCUCUCUAAAGUUUUUAAUUCAUUUGUCUUCAUUAUAAUUUUCUCAGACAUCUUGGCGUGUAUAACUGUCACACAAGAGCCAAUCACAGCUGGUAUGUAAACUGUAAAUGUGAAGAUCUGAUACUAUAAAUCGAAUAGUAAUACUGUCUGUAUUUCUGAAGUAUGCUGUAUGUGAAGGGCUGCUAGUAAUGUUCAUGAACUAUAGGCUAUAACUCAAGAUUAGUUAUGUCAAUGCUAAAUAAAAACAGGUAAUUAUUUUCAUUUCAGUUGGUGUCUCUGACCCCUGCUCCAGCUACAGUGUGCUGGAUAAUCCAUGGAGAGUUAGCAGUAAUCGAUAUGCUUCUGUCAUAUAUUGUGACCAGGAUGUCACCUGGAGCGGCUGGUAUCGUUUCUUCAUUAACAACAUAAGCACUCAUAUCCCAGAAACAUGUGUUGACAUCUAUAGCUGUGGCACAAAUCUCCCAAUGUGGAUUAAUGCUAGACACCCAACAGUUGGGGAUGGAAUCGUCUCUAUAUUAGUCUGCACUACCUGGAACAAUAACUGCUGCUUUCAUAUGCAUUACAUUAGAGUCAAAGCCUGCCCGGACAAUUAUUACGUCUAUGAGUUGGUUCGUCCAUUUGGCUGUCAUUUUGCAUACUGUGCAGUUCCUCCUAACAUCAGCAGCACUGUUACAGUCGCACCAGAGACGAGCUCAGCUGAUAUAAAUAUAACACUGCAAGAAGGAUGCACCAGCCAGACCUCUGGAGGAUGUUUACAAAAUCUUCUUGAACAGAUCGAGAAUAUUACAGCUCAAGUGCUUCCUUUGAGUGUAAGUUUUAAAGAGAAAAAUAUUAAAAUAAUAAAGUUACAUAAAGAUUGCUCUGUUGAAAUUUAUAUCUACAAUAACUGUAUUUUUCUAAUCAAUGAAUUAGACUGUGACAAACAUUUUGACGGUGGCCUUCAAUGCUUCAGAAAAGAUUUUAGAGUCAUCAUCAUCAGCAAACCCAGCUGAACUAGCCUCCUUUGGAAACCGUGUGUUAAAAACCAGCGAGAAACUAAUUUCUACAUUAGUGAAGCCGACAGACACUAAUGACAGUGUCAGUUUUACUCUUGCUGCUGUAGGUAUGUGGAGGCAUUAUUAAACUAUUAUUGAUGACUGAGAUUAUAUACAGUAUGAUGUCAGUGACUUUAUUUUGUCUAGAGAGCAGCAGAGGGUCUCGUCAAAUUGACACAGAC
This is a long non-coding RNA of Cyprinus carpio (common carp), 1677 nucleotides long. Lineage: Eukaryota; Metazoa; Chordata; Actinopteri; Cypriniformes; Cyprinidae. The record is from Ensembl.